RNAcentral lists this long non-coding RNA (220 nucleotides) under Elaeis guineensis (African oil palm). RNAcentral's name for it is "long non-coding RNA (EGUI_LNC003970)". Lineage: Eukaryota; Viridiplantae; Streptophyta; Magnoliopsida; Arecales; Arecaceae. The record is from RNAcentral.
UCUGCAAGACAGCCUAAAUUUUGUAUUUUCUAGGCUUUCCAUAUUUAGUGCUGAUUUCUAAUUCUUUAGAUUCCUAAAAUCACAGUAUAAAAAGAAAAUUAUUUCCAAACCAAAAAAGUGAUUUUGACCCAUCAUAAUCUUUGUGACUUAUCCGCUUCCACGUGAAGUGGGUCUCACCAAUAGGAUGGUUGAUAUCGAGGACAAGGCCUGUUUCUGACUC